RNAcentral lists this non-coding RNA (30 nucleotides) under Rattus norvegicus (Norway rat). Lineage: Eukaryota; Metazoa; Chordata; Mammalia; Rodentia; Muridae. The record is from RNAcentral.
UAGCUACAAUUUGCCUUAUGAUGUUUGCAU